Molecule: ribosomal RNA, 468 nt
Filed under: uncultured bacterium
Lineage: Bacteria
Description: partial 16S ribosomal RNA
Rfam family: Bacterial small subunit ribosomal RNA
Source: RNAcentral
GAUGAACGCUGGCGGCGUGCUUAACACAUGCAAGUCGAACGGAAAGGCCAGUGCUUGCACUGGUACUCGAGUGGCGAACGGGUGAGUAACACGUGGGUGAUCUGCCCUGCACUUCGGGAUAAGCCUGGGAAACUGGGUCUAAUACCGGAUAGGACAAUGGUUUGGAUGCCGUUGUGGAAAGUUUUUUCGGUGUGGGAUGAGCUCGCGGCCUACCAGCUUGUUGGUGGGGUAAUGGCCUACCAAGGCGUCGACGGGUAGCCGGCCUGAGAGGGUGUACGGCCACAUUGGGACUGAGAUACGGCCCAGACUCCUACGGGAGGCAGCAGUGGGGAAUAUUGCACAAUGGGCGCAAGCCUGAUGCAGCGACGCCGCGUGGGGGAUGACGGCCUUCGGGUUGUAAACUCCUUUCGCUAGGGACGAAGCGUAUUUGUGACGGUACCUGGAGAAGAAGCACCGGCUAACUACGUG